This 497-nucleotide ribosomal RNA is filed under the name uncultured bacterium. Its description in RNAcentral is "partial 16S ribosomal RNA". It matches the Rfam family "Bacterial small subunit ribosomal RNA", at positions 28 to 507 of the family's 1533-position model. The record is from RNAcentral.
GACGAACGCUGGCGGCGUGCCUAAUACAGGCAAGUAGAACGCUGAAGAGAGGAGCUUACUCUUCUUGGAUGAGUGGCGAACGGGUGAGUAACGCGUGGGUAACCUGCCUUGUAGCGGGGGAUAACUAUUGGAAACGAUAGCUAAUACCGCAUAACAAUUGAUGACACAGGUUAUUUAUUUGAAAGGGGCAAUUGCUCCACUACAAGAUGGAUCUGCGUUGUAUUAGCUAGUAGGUGAGGUAAUGGCUCACCCAGGCGACGAUACAUAGCCGACCUGAGAGGGGGGUUCGCCCACACGGGACUGGGACCAGGCCCCGACCCCUUCCGGGGGGCGCCGGAGGGGAUCCUCGGGAAUUGGGCGAACCCUGGCCGGGGCACGGCGGGUGAGUUAAGAAGGUUUUCCGGUCGGAAAGCUCUGUUGUAAGUCAAGAACGGGUGUGGGAGUGGAAAGUUCACACUGUGACGGUACCUUAUCAGAAAGCGACGGCUAACUACGUG